RNAcentral lists this ribosomal RNA (404 nucleotides) under uncultured Rhodospirillaceae bacterium. RNAcentral describes it as "bacterial SSU rRNA". It matches the Rfam family "Bacterial small subunit ribosomal RNA", at positions 355 to 776 of the family's 1533-position model. The record is from RNAcentral. Lineage: Bacteria; Pseudomonadati; Pseudomonadota; Alphaproteobacteria; Rhodospirillales; Rhodospirillaceae.
UGGGGAGUAUUGGACAAUGGGGGCAACCCUGAUCCAGCAAUGCCGCGUGAGUGAUGAAGGCCUUCGGGUUGUAAAGCUCUUUCGACGGGGAAGAUGAUGACGGUACCCGUAGAAGAAGCCCCGGCUAACUUCGUGCCAGCAGCCGCGGUAAUACGAAGGGGGCUAGCGUUGUUCGGAUUUACUGGGCGUAAAGGGCGCGUAGGCGGUGCAAUAAGUCAGGCGUGAAAGCCCCGGGCUCAACCCGGGAAUAGCGCUUGAUACUGUUGCGCUUGAAUCCAGGAGAGGAUGGCGGAAUUCCCAGUGUAGAGGUGAAAUUCGUAGAUAUUGGGAAGAACACCAGUGGCGAAGGCGGCCAUCUGGCCUGGAAUUGACGCUGAGGCGCGAAAGCGUGGGGAGCAAACAGG